Lycium barbarum (goji berry) is the source of this 7478-nucleotide long non-coding RNA. RefSeq lists it as uncharacterized. The transcript has 3 exons. The record is from RefSeq and is a predicted model, not a curated record. Lineage: Eukaryota; Viridiplantae; Streptophyta; Magnoliopsida; Solanales; Solanaceae.
CCCUCAUUUAAUCCAUCUGAAAAUUCCAAAAUACCCUUGAAUCCCUAAAAUAUUGUAAGGUUUUCAUUCUUUUCCUCACCAGCCGCACAUGACCUUCCUUGCUUUCUCUGCCAUGGCAGAAAAGAUUUUGGCAUUUUCCUUCAUUUUUUACAAAGGUUUGACCCCAAAAUUUCACCAUUAGAGAACUGUGUGCUCUAUUUCGAGUAAUAGUUAUCCGUUUCUACCUUUUCCUUGGCAGGCCAUCAGAGAUUUUCCUCUUUUGCAUCCCAAAAAUCCUUGCGAAUCCAUUUGUUUUCAGAAGGAAAUGCACCAUUUGAGAAAUGCUAGGCUCCUAAGCAAGAAAGAUUCUGAUCGAGGCAACAAAAAACUAGCAGAAAAAUCACAUAAACCCGCUAUCAUUUUCAAACGUUCAGAUUCAAGAGAAAUCUCACCCAAAAUGACAAACCCAAAAUCUCUAGCUUAUAGCUAUAAAUAUCAGCCUUAAAGAUUCAUUUUAAAAACAUCAGGAACAACACACACACUAAAAAAAACCACUUUUUUUUCUAUCUACGAUUUUUUUCUGAACGUGUUCAAGUGAGUCGACUAUUGAGCGCAGAUCUGUGACCCAAGUCCUAGUUCACUGUACUCGAAAAAGGUUAGUACUAGUCCUUUCUUUUCUCUCUUUUUGAUUCUACUCAGAACCUGUUUUUUAUGUGUCAAACGUUCAGAUUCAAGAGAAAUCUCACCCAAAAUGACAACCCCAAAAUCCCUAGCUUAUAGCUAUAAAUAUCAGCCUUAAGCUUCAUUUUAAAAACAUCAGGAACAACACAUCACACUAAAAAAACCACAUUUUUUUCUAUCUAAGAUUUUUUUUGAACGUGUUCAAGCGAGUCGAGAGCGUAGAUCUGUGACCCAAGUCCUAGUUCACUGCACUAGAAAAAGGUCAGUACUACUUCUUUCGUUUCUCUCUUUUUGAUUCUGCUCAGAACCUGUUUUUUAUGUGUUAAAAAUGCUUUUUAAUUUUCAAGAUGUUUUAUUUCGUAUUGCGGAUGCCAUUAUAAUAGGGGAUUUCAUUUGUGCUCGUUAAAUCGAGAUUAUUACUCUGUAAUUGAUAUUUUCAUUUGAAAAACAUGGUUUAAGAUCCCUGUUUCACUAAGUAAUAUUUAAAAGCAGUUCGAUAAAAAAAAAUCAUUUUUCUUUCUCACUCGAGAGUGCUCAUCUGUAUGUGAUUUUGUCACUGUUCAUGUUAGAAUAUACACCACCGAUUUAUUUUUAUUUGCUUAAAAGGACAUAUUGCUUGCAGAAAACUUGUUUAUUGUUUAAAGUUUGGAUAUUAUAGCUAUACCGGGAUCAUUUGAAGUUUUCUUUCUUUUGCUUGUAUCAGUAAUAUAAAAUGUCUUCUAUGGUUAAAGGAGAUCUAUGACAUCCAUUCUAGUCGAGACCUAGAAGUUCAAUGAUGUACUGUAUCUGCGUUGGGAAAUCUGCUUGCGGUCGUGUUAGUUCUUGUGUUAUUUUUAAGUAGUGUGUUAUGACUUUACGACAGUUUAACCAGUCAUGUUGUCAAAUAAAUUUUUGAACUAAUAAUCACUGUUUUUUUAUGCUCAAAAUUGAACAAGUUGUCGGAGAAUCGUUCUUUUCUUUAGAAUGUAAACUACAUCAUUGUUUCCAACAUGUUUAAGAUGUAUGUAGUUUUGUGCGAAUAGCUCUGGUCUUAUAUUCACGUAGGGGUGUCGGUUUUCACAGUUAAAAACAUAGCAUAAACUUCAUAUAUAAGUAACACCCUAUAAAUCAGUAGCUAAGUUAAGGUCAAAAUCAAGUCGUUAAAACGAUUUACAUGAUAUCCCUUUGAUUUCUCUGUAUUUUAGUAUGUUGUUUGCAUUUUAAGUUUAAUGUUCGUUUCUUUUCACAUCUUGUUGUAUCCCUGCUAGUUAUGCUUUAAGAUAUAGCUGAAGUGUGGUGUGUGUUUAUUUUUUUAUGACCACGUAUACUCGUCUGUUGGCUUUUUAAAAUUCAGAUUCAUGUACUAAUACUCUUUUAAAUGCAUUAACACAGUUUCAUACUUCACUACAUGUAGAAUUUAUUUUUUUAGUACUUUAGUUAAUUUAAAAUUACUCAAGAUGAGACUUUGGAUAAAAAAAUGGAAUUUUUUUUCUCUACUGGACAUAGAUCAUUUCAUUGGAGUACUUCGUCGUGGGUUCUUUUAUCGAGUCUUUCUAUCUGUAAAUGCAUUGUGAAUAUAUUUUGCAUAAGUUACCUUGCUGAUCUUCACAUUUUUCUUUUCUUCACAUGUAAUGCACCCGGAGUGACAAAGAGUCUCGUUUUGAGACUCGAUAUGACUGCUGCUAAAUCCAAGACCCGCAUUUACAUCUUAUUGCAUCUUGUCUCGCCCUUUAUGCCUCCAAGCAGAAAAGGAAAACAGAAAGAGGGGCGAGAUGACGCUUCUAUCUCUCAUUAGUCAUUGCCUUCGCUCUCUCCUAUCCGAAUAUGGAAAUGAGAGCGAGGGAGUUACUUCUAUUUUUAGAUUUCUUUCUCUUUGACUCCUUUCUGCUUUGUUAGUAACUUGCUGGACUUUUUUACUUUGAUUAUCUUCAUAGAGGAAUAUGACUAGUGCUAGUAUUAACUUAGAAAGGGUAGUCGGUAUAAGGGGAAACCGAUAGUACAGGGGUAUAUUUGACCCUUUUUCCGUACUUACAAUGUUUUUCAACGUUCUGAGAAUUUAGGUAUGUAUUUGUAAUCUUUUUAUUUCAUUGGUAGUAUUGCAUAGAAGAAGACGUGAUCUAUUUUCAAGUUUGUUGCAAACUGAUUUUUUCGAACUUGGACAACUUCUUUUGAGAUAUUAAAGAUUGAUUUUCUACAUGAACGUGGUUUUGAAAUGCUAAUCGAUAACAUGUGUAUCUGUUGAACUCUUCUUUCCUUUUAACAAACAAUUAACAAGUUUAAUAUGAAGGUACAACUUUUUUUGUUUAAUCAUGAUUCGAAUUUGGGCUUUUAGAUGAAAGAAAGCUAAUCAAAAGAAGUACUCCCUUUUUUUGCCUCACUAGAUCAUCUUUUGUUUUAAGCUUACAUCCUUUUCUAUAAUGUUUUUUUUUUUUGAAGCAAAUUUCAGAUUCUGUUCAACUUUUCUUUUAUUAAAAUCAAUCACUUUAAGUUCAAAUCGUUAACUUCGUAUAAGACGGUGAGAUUUCUAUCGGUUUCCUUUUUAAACAAAAUGAGUCAAAAGAUUGUUUUUUUUUUUAUGAUUUUGGUUGCCAUUUGUUGAAAUUUGGUUACAAUUUUUUUAUUCCUUUUAAAAUUUGAAGUGAUUGAUAAUAAGUCCACUUCGUUACAAGAAGUAAACAUUUUUCUAUCUAAUUACCUUAAUAUUUAGCUAUGAAUACCUUUUCUCAAAUGACAUAUAAAGUAGUAAAAUAUUAUUUUAUCUUCAUUUUCAAUAUUAAUCUAAGUUUGAUCGGUAACUGUAUUUAGCGGAUUCUAAUGGAUGUCUAAGACCUUCUCAUUAGGAUAUUUAGAACCUUACCUAGAAUUUAUUAGGUUAGUAAGAUCUUUAAAAUUGGAGUUUAUUUUAGGCAUUUACUUUGUUAAAAUAGGUGUCCUAAUUUACUGUUAAAAUAAUUAGGUAGCGACUCCUUAAGUUAAAUGAUUAGGAAUCACCAAUAUGUUGUACUCUGUUUUGAUCCGGUUAAAAUGGGGUGUAACAUGGGGCCCUCACACAUAUAAAUGUGACCCCGCUGAACACGGUUUCAUAGACUCCCUAAAGACACUUGAACCUAGGCUCUGAUACCAAGCUUUGUCACACCUCGAAUCAUGACCUGAGAGUAACACGACACUCGGUGCCUGACUACAUGUGAUCGAGCGAAUCACAUGGCUUGCUGAAAUAUCAUGUGGCAUACAUGAGUGGAAUGUAACAUAAAACAUGAUGGGCUUUAGGAAAACACAUGAAGUCAUAAUAACUUGUAAAAUACUUGCUUAAAACAUGAAUGCGGAAAUACCAUGAAUCAAGAGAAAGAUGGCUAAAUAACUCUGAAUUUCUAACAUAACAUAACUGACUGGUCUAGUCUAUGAAAUAUCUAUCAUGAGUCUGAUUGAAAAACAUACGUGCUGGGACAAAGCCCCCAGCAUACCUUUAAAUGCAUAACUAAUCAUAAAAUAAAGAUAACUAACUAAACCCCGAAGAAAAUGGGGCUCACCAACAAGCUGAUAAGUUUGAAGUCCUACUAAGCAGAUACGUCGUCCUAUAAAUCAGUACAUGCAUCAUGAAAUGCAGGCCCCCGGGCAAUAAAAGGGGACGUCAGCACAUUGAAUGUACUGGUAUGUAAAGCAACUGAAAGAAAAUAACAUGGGACAUGGAAUAACAUGAUGAGAAGUGAAACUGAAAACCUGGACAUGAACAUGAGCAUGAAUACAUACAUAUAUAACGUAGGUAAAACAUUUUAAGCUGGAAGAGCAAUAAACAUAUAACCGACAACAUGGCCUGGUACUUGCGUCCUACCAACAGAACACUCACACCUUGCCAUGGUAAUGAGAUUUAAUAAUAUUAUGAAAAGAUCCAGUUUUUAUGAGAGAUCGUCCUAACCUUGGGUGGAGCGAUCCUCAUCCUACGGUGGCUACGUAGUUUUAGGCUGCUUGAAGCCUUCUCGGUAAUUAAUACCAAAAAUAUGAACAUGGAAAAUAAGUGGCACUUGCUGCCCAUGGAUUUUCACGAAUCAUAACUUGCAUGUAUAUGGAUAUCAUUUGUAUUAUUCUUGCAUAAACUUACAAAACAUAUACAACUUUUCUUGAAAAUAUAAUAAUAGUUCAUAAACUAGCAUGUCAGAACCCAUGGAAUGCAAAGUAUGGGUUUUCAUGAAUUACGGACAAAUUUUCAAUAAUCAUAAUAAUGUAUCAAGAACAUAAAAUGAAGAAUUUAUAACAAUUUAAUACAAAUUAUAACAUGAGGCAUGGACCAAGAGUUAUCAUGAACAUGAUUAAAAACCCUAGUUUUCGUAAAGCUUCAUACUUCAUGGAAGAAAAAGUAUGGGGAAGAACAAUGAUGUUCCCGCACGUAGAUAGCAACCCUACAUAGUUGGUAAUCCUCCAACUUGUAUUAAAAAUCUGAUCUUGGAAGAAGAAUCUCAAGGUUUAAGUCUUGAGUCCUUUAAAUGGGUAUUUUUUGAUAACCCUAUGUUAAGAACAAUGAUUUCAUGAUUAGAUUAUAAGAACACAUGUUAGAAUUAAUUUGGAAGAGCUUGGUUUGACUUACCUUGAUGUUCUUGGUGUUGGAGGAGAGGAACAGGUCGUUCCAGGAUUUAAGGACUUGUAAAAAUAAGAAUUAGAACUGAAACCAUGUAUUUAUAGUUUCUGGUGCGACGAGCGAAAUACGGACCAAAAUACGAUCCGUAUUCUGAAUUACGGUCUGUAUUCCUGGAUCGUAAUUAAGCAUAUUCCAAAACAGAAACACUGUAACACCUUGUCCCCAAAUUCGAUCAUCAAAUACGGGACGUAUUUCAAAAUACGGUAUAUAUUUAACAAUAUACUUUCCCAAGCCAAAUUUCAGAAUACACAGUGAUUUUAGAUGCCCAAUUAGGUUCUAAAAUACGGGCCCGUAUACUGGAAUACGGUCUGUAUUCUAUAUCGUAAAUCCUCACCUAACAACAGAAGAGAAAUUUCUAACUCCCACAUUCUCUAUCUGGUUUUCUAAGUCUAGAAUCAUGGUUAAGGUUUUAGUUAAAGGUGCGGGUUGUUACAAUUUAAUCCUCCGUGUAUAAGCUAAACUCUAUACACUAAAUCAUCUACUAUAUAAGUAAAGGACACACAUACUAGUACAUGAUUUAUUUAACUCUUUAUUAAAAAAUGAAUAAAUAAUUUUUCUAUAAUAAAUAUUAUAUCCAAACACAUGGUUAAUAGUAUAUAUCCCAACAAUCUUCCACUUAGACUUUUAAUCAUGACAAUUGUUAGAAUAUACCAUAUCUAAAUGCAUGGUUUAUUGUAUAAACCCCAAUAAUCUCCCACUUAGACUUUUAACCAUGCAUUUACAAAUUUCACAUGUAUUCCUUUUGCACAACUACCAAAGGUGUUAGCCAAUAAGCUCUUUGCCAAAAAAAAAACUUGGCAAGUUGUUUCCUGAUGCAACUCGUCUAGUAGUGCUUCGUCGUAACUAAUCAGUUUUGUGCUAAGAUCUUCAGGAAUCCUAUCAUGAAACUCUCUUAAAAGUGUGUUUCUGUUAUAGCCCGCAUUUUGUACGUUCGGAUAUUUCGAGAUCGUCGUGGCAAGUUAAGGGCAAGACCAUUUUAAAAAAUUAUUUUAAGGUACAAGUUGGUUAUGGAUAUUAAUUAUGAAUAUUAUUAGUAUGAAAAUAUUGAGGAAAGCUAAGGAAAAAAAAAUUCACAAAAAGGGUUCAUGGUAAUAUUGUGGAAGACUAAGGGUAAAAUGGGAAUUUCACAUAGUGUUCAAGAAAAUUCUUGAAAUGCCACUUUGGCCAUGUGACAUAAAAAGUGGGCCCCACCCAUGGCCAUGUGUCCAUGUUCUUACUUAAGGGACCAAAGUUUAUACAACAAGACAAGUGGGUAUAAUUGUUAUUUUAAGAAAAUUCUAGAAGAAGGGGACAAGAGCCAUGUGCUCAUAAUUUUUAGUAGGACCAUGCAAAAAUAUACAUGUAUGAAGUGAUGACAAAAUAAGAAAAAUUAGUCAUCUUAGUUUUAAUUUAAGAAACCUCUAGAGAAGGGGGCAUGUGCCCCUCACAUGCUUGUGGGAACUAUAUAUAUAUGGAAAGGUGGGGGAAAAAUAAGACAUAUUCUUCACUUUGCAAUUCUAGAAAAUUGAAGGCAAAGAAGGAGAACCAUUCGGCCAAGGGGGCUGGCCGAAUAUGGUCCCUAAUUUUUUAUUAAAAAAAAAUGUUUUCUUCUAGCUUUCCUACCAAUUGGAAGGUCCUCUACGACGUGGAGUAAUUGUUAGAGCAAGUAAAAUAGUCUUUUGGUGCAAAUUCAAGCCCUAGCCGAGUGAAGAAGAUGUGUGGAGAAAGAUUAGCAAGGUUGGACAAAUAGGCGUAGCUAGUUGGUCGCGAGACAGGUACACCCAGAUGAGUUGAAGCUAUUACAGAAGACGUUCCAGCGGAAUUGGCAAGCUCCACUUGUUCCUGGGGUGCUGCCAAGUCAGAGUAUAUGUGUUAUGGUGUCUGAUUAGUGUUAGAGACUUUGCAGACAGAGUCGUGGGUAUAGAAUGUCAGUUUGUAAGCGGCUCCAUCAGCCGAUGCGUCAUUUGUGUUAUGAUAUAAGUUCUAUAUGAUUACAAAUUUUGUAUGAUUUAAAGAUUAUUUCUGAAAGUUGUAGUAUGUAUAUCAUCUUUAUUAAUUUAACAAGUCCAAAAGAUUAUGUAUGUAAUAAGAGUCAGUGGGUUCGCUCGGCUCCGAAUAAGGGGUCGGGUGCCCAUCACACCCUAGUAAGGUUAGGGUGUGACAGUUUCCUUUUAGGAACCUAUCAUGAAAUUCUCCCAAGAGUAUACACUUGAACCGAUCUUGGUGAUUA